This 207-nucleotide ribosomal RNA is filed under the name uncultured bacterium. RNAcentral's name for it is "partial 16S ribosomal RNA". It matches the Rfam family "Bacterial small subunit ribosomal RNA", at positions 568 to 774 of the family's 1533-position model. The record is from RNAcentral.
CGCGUAGGCGGCUCGUUAAGUGGCUGGUGAAAUCCCGGGGCUCAACUCCGGGGCUGCCGGUCAUACUGGCGAGCUGGAGCACGGUAGAGGCGGAUGGAAUUCCCGGUGUAGCGGUGGAAUGCGUAGAUAUCGGGAAGAAUACCGGUGGCGAAGGCGUUCCGCUGGGCCGUUGCUGACGCUGAGGCGCGACAGCGUGGGGAGCAAACA